RNAcentral lists this ribosomal RNA (514 nucleotides) under Tranzschelia discolor. Its description in RNAcentral is "eukaryotic LSU rRNA". It matches the Rfam family "Eukaryotic large subunit ribosomal RNA", at positions 86 to 612 of the family's 3401-position model. Lineage: Eukaryota; Fungi; Basidiomycota; Pucciniomycetes; Pucciniales; Raveneliaceae. The record is from RNAcentral.
ACGGCGAGUGAAGAGGGAAAAGCCCAAAUUUGUAAUCUGGCUCUUUAAGAGUCUGAGUUGUAAUUUUAAGAACUGUUUUCAGUGCUGGACCAUGUACAAGUCUGUUGAAACACAGCAUCAUUGAGGGUGAUAAUCCCGUUCAUGAUAUGGACUCCCAGUGCAAUAUGAUACAGUCUCCAAGAGUCGAGUUGUUUGGGAAUGCAGCUCAAAAUGGGUGGUAAAUUCCAUCUAAGGCUAAAUAUUGGUGAGAGACCGAUAGCAAACAAGUACCGUGAGGGAAAGAUGAAAAGAACUUUGGAAAGAGAGUUAACAGUACGUGAAAUUGUUAAAAGGGAAACAAUUGAAGUUAGUCUUGUUAUUACUGGUUCAGCUCUUUUAGAGUGUAUUCCAGUGGUUAACAGAUCAACAUCAAUUCUUGGGUGCUAGAUAAGGGUUUUGUGAAAUGUAGCAGCUUCUAGCUGUGUUAUAGUCUGAGACUUUGAUAUAGUGCCUAGGAUUGAGGAAUGCAGUGAGC